GCUCGAGCGGCGAACGGGUGAGUAACACGUGAGUAACCUGCCCUUGACUUUGGGAUAACUUCAGGAAACUAGGGCUAAUACCGGAUAGGAGCUCCUGCUGCAUGGUGGGGGUUGGAAAGUUUCGGCGGUUGGGGAUGGACUCGCGGCUUAUCAGCUUGUUGGUGGGGUAGUGGCUUACCAAGGCUUUGACGGGUAGCCGGCCUGAGAGGGUGACCGGCCACAUUGGGACUGAGAUACGGCCCAG
RNAcentral lists this ribosomal RNA (244 nucleotides) under uncultured Actinomycetales bacterium. RNAcentral's name for it is "partial 16S ribosomal RNA". It matches the Rfam family "Bacterial small subunit ribosomal RNA", at positions 89 to 334 of the family's 1533-position model. The record is from RNAcentral. Lineage: Bacteria; Bacillati; Actinomycetota; Actinomycetes; Actinomycetales.